Long non-coding RNA from Haliotis rubra (blacklip abalone), 361 nucleotides. RefSeq lists it as uncharacterized. The record is from RefSeq and is a predicted model, not a curated record. The transcript is spliced from 4 exons. Lineage: Eukaryota; Metazoa; Mollusca; Gastropoda; Lepetellida; Haliotidae.
GUUUGUAUGUGGUUGGGUGGAUAGGUUUGGACUGUCGCGGCUGUGGUGAGACUGGCGGAGGCUCCGAGUUUGCUGUUUUGUUAAAAAGCGAGGUGACGUUUCUUUCGCCCUUUGAUGAAAAUGGCUCUAAACAGAAACCACGCGCACGCAUUUCUGUUUCUCACUCUGAUGUUCAUCGCUGGCGCUGCUUCAACAGACGCAGAUUGUCCAGAUGGUGUUGGUCAGAUUGGUGAAGGAUACAGAAUAGUCUGUGACAGAAGCAACUACACAGGCUUCGCGUGGGUGCAACCUGGUGGCAAGUACGUCGUCACCUGCAACCCCAACUGCAGCUCUGUGGCUGGAUACAGUGCAACCAGGAACA